GGAUCCAGACUUUGAUCAUGGCUCAGGACGAACGCUGGCGGCGUGCCUAACACAUGCAAGUCGAACGGAGAAUUUUAUUUCGGUAGAAUUCUUAGUGGCGAACGGGUGAGUAACGCGUAGGCAACCUGCCCUUUAGACGGGGACAACAUUCCGAAAGGAGUGCUAAUACCGGAUGUGAUCAUCUUGCCGCAUGGCAGGAUGAAGAAAGAUGGCCUCUACAAGUAAGCUAUCGCUAAAGGAUGGGCCUGCGUCUGAUUAGCUAGUUGGUAGUGUAACGGACUACCAAGGCGAUGAUCAGUAGCCGGUCUGAGAGGAUGAACGGCCACAUUGGGACUGAGACACGGCCCAAACUCCUACGGGAGGCAGCAGUGGGGAAUCUUCCGCAAUGGACGAAAGUCUGACGGAGCAACGCCGCGUGAGUGAUGAAGGAUUUCGGUCUGUAAAGCUCUGUUGUUUAUGACGAACGUGCAGUGUGUGAACAAUGCAUUGCAAUGACGGUAGUAAACGAGGAAGCCACGGCUAACUACGUGCCAGCAGCCGCGGUAAUACGUAGGUGGCGAGCGUUGUCCGGAAUUAUUGGGCGUAAAGAGCAUGUAGGCGGCUUAAUAAGUCGAGCGUGAAAAUGCGGGGCUCAACCCCGUAUGGCGCUGGAAACUGUUAGGCUUGAGUGCAGGAGAGGAAAGGGGAAUUCCCAGUGUAGCGGUGAAAUGCGUAGAUAUUGGGAGGAACACCAGUGGCGAAGGCGCCUUUCUGGACUGUGUCUGACGCUGAGAUGCGAAAGCCAGGGUAGCGAACGGGAUUAGAUACCCCGGUAGUCCUGGCCGUAAACGAUGGGUACUAGGUGUAGGAGGUAUCGACCCCUUCUGUGCCGGAGUUAACGCAAUAAGUACCCCGCCUGGGGAGUACGGCCGCAAGGUUGCAACUCAAAGGAAUUGACGG
This 939-nucleotide ribosomal RNA is filed under the name uncultured Bacillota bacterium. RNAcentral describes it as "bacterial SSU rRNA". It matches the Rfam family "Bacterial small subunit ribosomal RNA", at positions 1 to 916 of the family's 1533-position model. The record is from RNAcentral. Lineage: Bacteria; Bacillati; Bacillota.